UACGUAGGGGGCUAGCGUUGUCCGGAUUUAUUGGGCGUAAAGCGCGCGUAGGCGGUUUCGCACGUCUGCUGUGAAAGUCGGAGGCUCAACCUUCGAAAGCCGGUGGAUACUGUGAGACUUGAGUACGGAAGAGGAGAGUGGAAUUCCUGGUGUAGCGGUGAAAUGCGCAGAUAUCAGGAGGAACACCAACGGCGAAGGCAGCUCUCUGGGACGUUACUGACGCUGAGACGCGAAAGCGUGGGGAGCAAACAGG
RNAcentral lists this ribosomal RNA (253 nucleotides) under uncultured bacterium. Its description in RNAcentral is "partial 16S ribosomal RNA". It matches the Rfam family "Bacterial small subunit ribosomal RNA", at positions 524 to 776 of the family's 1533-position model. The record is from RNAcentral.